GAUGAACGCUAGCGAUAGGCCUAACACAUGCAAGUCGAGGGGCAUCACAUGAGGUAGCAAUACUGAUGGUGGCGACCGGCGCACGGGUGAGUAACACGUAUGCAACCUACCUUCCACACGGGGAUAACCCGGAGAAAUCCGGACUAAUACCCGAUAAUACAGGGGUCCCGCAUGGGAAUAUUUGUUAAAGAUUUAUUGGUAGAAGAUGGGCAUGCGUUCCAUUAGUUAGUGGUGAGGUAACGGCUCACCAAGGCUCCGAUCUAUAGCUGGUUUGAGAGGACGACCAGCCACACUGGAACUGAGACACGGUCCAGACUCCUACGGGAGGCAGCAGUGAGGAAUAUUGCGCAAUGGGGGAAACCCUGACGCAGCGACGCCGCGUGAGUGAUGAAGGCCUUCGGGUGUAAAGCUCUGUCAGGAGGGAAAGGAAAGGGGAGUGCGGAAUAAUACCCGCAGCCAUGACGGUACCCUCGGAGGAAGCACCGGCUAACUACGUGCCAGAC
Molecule: ribosomal RNA, 503 nt
Filed under: uncultured bacterium
Lineage: Bacteria
Description: bacterial SSU rRNA
Rfam family: Bacterial small subunit ribosomal RNA
Source: RNAcentral